Molecule: non-coding RNA, 940 nt
Organism: Xyrichtys novacula (pearly razorfish)
Lineage: Eukaryota; Metazoa; Chordata; Actinopteri; Labriformes; Labridae
Source: the annotation of a GenBank genome assembly
CUCUCUCUCACUCUCUCUCUCUCACACACAGACACAAACUCAAACCAUCCAGCACUGAGUGAUGUGCAGGAGGGGGAUCAAAGGGAGCGCUAAUUCCUCAGUGCUCAAGAUGUACACACACAUAUGCAUGUGCGCAUACACACACACACUGAGCUGAGAGCUGUUCAUUCAUUAAUGGAGUCACAUGCUGCACAUCUCAGUUUCACACAUCACUGGCCUUUAGUUAGUGAAAGACGACUCAGAUAGAAGGAGAAAGUGCGCAGGCUUGUCUGCAUAUAUGCAUGUCUGUGAAGUCUGUUACCUUUCGUUUUCAUGAAUGAUUUUGUCCACUCAUACAAAAAAAAAGUGCGUAUUUGGUUACAAGUAUGUGCCAGUGAAGCAUGUUCACUCUCAUGCAUGGAGAGACGCAUUAGCAUGCGCAUGAAUGCAGGCGUAAUUGUGCGUGCGUGCUCCUGUGCAUUGUUGUGUGAGUGGCUGCUCUCCGCCGCCUGCUCGCUUGGAUCUGCUGUCACAUGUCCUCUGCUCAGGAACACACGAGGCAGCAGCAGUGCAGAGGAAAAUCAUCGCAUCUCUCACAUUGUCAGGAUUUUCUUAACUUCUCCACCUGCACGUGAGAAGAAAAUUUGGGUGGGGAGUGGGAGCUCGUGUUUAUCAGAUUUGCCACAAUCGUCUCUGGCUUCAAAGCUGCCAUGUUAUCAGAGAGGUUGAUGGUUUAUGAAAUGACUAUUGUGAAAUAUUUAACAUUUCACACACUCGUGCAGGAUUAUCCAUCAUCGCAGCUAAGAUUCCUGCAGAUGCAUCAUCCCUCCCACUCCCACUCUGCUCCCAUGGACAUCGAAUCCCCCCACCCCACUGCACCGGAGUUUCCUUUUGGAAAUCUGAGUACCUCACCCUGGAAGAAAAUAUCACACAUGCAGCCUCUGUGGAUUAAACUUGAAGC